GAUGAAGAACGUAGCGAAAUGCGAUAAGUAAUGUGAAUUGCAGAAUUCAGUGAAUCAUCGAAUCUUUGAAUGCACCUUGCACCCUUUGGCAUUCUGAAGGGUAUGCUCGUUUGAGUGUCAUUGUACUCUCACACUCCCGAUCUUUGCAUUGGGAGCAGUGGACUUGGGUUUGCUGCUUCACCGUCGCUUACCUCAAAUAGGUUAGUGCAACUCUUGGUUGGACAUAGUACGGCGUGAUAAGUGUUCUUCGCCGGUGCCUCGCAAAGAGGGUGGCCGAUCGGGAUGUUGUGCUCCAAACCGUCUUCGGACAAUCUCUGACGACUUGACCUCAAAUCGAGUAAGACUACCCGCUGAACUUAAGCAUAUCAAUAAGCGGAGGA
This 380-nucleotide unclassified non-coding RNA is filed under the name soil metagenome. RNAcentral's name for it is "partial contains 5.8S ribosomal RNA, internal transcribed spacer 2, and large subunit ribosomal RNA". The stretch from base 1 to 120 matches the Rfam family "5.8S ribosomal RNA", at positions 35 to 154 of the family's 154-position model. The record is from RNAcentral.